UGGGGAAUUUUGGACAAUGGGGGAAACCCUGAUCCAGCCAUCCCGCGUGUGCGAUGAAGGCCUUCGGGUUGUAAAGCACUUUUGGCAGGAAAGAAACGUCGCGGGUUAAUACCCCGCGAAACUGACGGUACCUGCAGAAUAAGCACCGGCUAACUACGUGCCAGCAGCCGCGGUAAUACGUAGGGUGCAAGCGUUAAUCGGAAUUACUGGGCGUAAAGCGUGCGCAGGCGGUUCGGAAAGAAAGAUGUGAAAUCCCAGAGCUUAACUUUGGAACUGCAUUUUUAACUACCGGGCUAGAGUGUGUCAGAGGGAGGUGGAAUUCCGCGUGUAGCAGUGAAAUGCGUAGAUAUGCGGAGGAACACCGAUGGCGAAGGCAGCCUCCUGGGAUAACACUGACGCUCAUGCACGAAAGCGUGGGGAGCAAACAGGAUUAGAUACCCUGGUAGUCCACGCCCUAAACGAUGUCAACUAGCUGUUGGGGCCUUCGGGCCUUGGUAGCGCAGCUAACGCGUGAAGUUGACCGCCUGGGGAGUACGGUCGCAAGAUUAAAACUUAAAUGAAUUGACGGGGGUCAUAGCUGUUUU
RNAcentral lists this ribosomal RNA (584 nucleotides) under uncultured bacterium. RNAcentral describes it as "partial 16S ribosomal RNA". It matches the Rfam family "Bacterial small subunit ribosomal RNA", at positions 355 to 936 of the family's 1533-position model. The record is from RNAcentral.